Molecule: transfer RNA, 61 nt
Filed under: Physella acuta
Lineage: Eukaryota; Metazoa; Mollusca; Gastropoda; Physidae
Description: tRNA-Pro
Source: RNAcentral
CAAAAACAGUUAUGGUUAAUAUUAACUUUGGAAGUUAAAGAGUAGUGAACACUAUUUUUGA